AUAUUGGGCAAUGGGCGCAAGCCUGACCCAGCAACGCCGCGUGAAGGAAGAAGGCUUUCGGGUUGUAAACUUCUUUUCUUAGGGACGAAGCAAGUGACGGUACCUAAGGAAUAAGCCACGGCUAACUACGUGCCAGCAGCCGCGGUAAUACGUAGGUGGCAAGCGUUAUCCGGAUUUACUGGGUGUAAAGGGCGUGUAGGCGGGAUUGCAAGUCAGAUGUGAAAACUGGAGGCUCAACCUCCAGCCUGCAUUUGAAACUGUAGUUCUUGAGUACUGGAGAGGCAGACGGAAUUCCUAGUGUAGCGGUGAAAUGCGUAGAUAUUAGGAGGAACACCAGUGGCGAAGGCGGUCUGCUGGACAGCAACUGACGCUGAGGCGCGAAAGCGUGGGGAGCAAACAG
Molecule: ribosomal RNA, 400 nt
Filed under: uncultured bacterium
Lineage: Bacteria
Description: bacterial SSU rRNA
Rfam family: Bacterial small subunit ribosomal RNA
Source: RNAcentral